This 623-nucleotide ribosomal RNA is filed under the name Enterococcus faecium. RNAcentral describes it as "bacterial SSU rRNA". It matches the Rfam family "Bacterial small subunit ribosomal RNA", at positions 209 to 824 of the family's 1533-position model. The record is from RNAcentral. Lineage: Bacteria; Bacillati; Bacillota; Bacilli; Lactobacillales; Enterococcaceae.
CGGGUGUCGCUGAUGGAUGGACCCGCGGUGCAUUAGCUAGUUGGUGAGGUAACGGCUCACCAAGGCCACGAUGCAUAGCCGACCUGAGAGGGUGAUCGGCCACAUUGGGACUGAGACACGGCCCAAACUCCUACGGGAGGCAGCAGUAGGGAAUCUUCGGCAAUGGACGAAAGUCUGACCGAGCAACGCCGCGUGAGUGAAGAAGGUUUUCGGAUCGUAAAACUCUGUUGUUAGAGAAGAACAAGGAUGAUAGUAACUGUUCAUCCCUUGACGGUAUCUAACCAGAAAGCCACGGCUAACUACGUGCCAGCAGCCGCGGUAAUACGUAGGUGGCAAGCGUUGUCCGGAUUUAUUGGGCGUAAAGCGAGCGCAGGCGGUUUCUUAAGUCUGAUGUGAAAGCCCCCGGCUCAACCGGGGAGGGUCAUUGGAAACUGGGAGACUUGAGUGCAGAAGAGGAGAGUGGAAUUCCAUGUGUAGCGGUGAAAUGCGUAGAUAUAUGGAGGAACACCAGUGGCGAAGGCGGCUCUCUGGUCUGUAACUGACGCUGAGGCUCGAAAGCGUGGGGAGCAAACAGGAUUAGAUACCCUGGUAGUCCACGCCGUAAACGAUGAGUGCUAAGUGUU